UUAAUUGAAACCAAAAAGAGGUUUAUUACUGUUAAUAAUAAUAUUGAAAAUAAAAUUCCAAUUAAA
RNAcentral lists this transfer RNA (66 nucleotides) under Uroleucon erigeronensis. RNAcentral describes it as "tRNA-Asn". The record is from RNAcentral. RNAcentral also lists the same sequence under 1 other name. Lineage: Eukaryota; Metazoa; Arthropoda; Insecta; Hemiptera; Aphididae.